GGGAUGGACUCCUCCUGAUUUCCUAUCAUACGUUCCUUUUCAUUUUCCCCUUCUCUUACCAGACUGAACUCUCUGGCAGCUGUGGAAGGGGCCAAGUUUUUAUCAUCCUUACAGAGACAGCCUUUCUUUGGCGAUAGCGGCGAAGCAGUAGGCUGCUCAAGGGCCAUUUCUAUCACCGGACCUCAUCUGUCAUGGUGUGUUUGUCUGAUAAACCUUUCCCUGCACAGAGCAAUAGGAAUCUCACCCCAGCUACACCCACUCCAGCCUAUUUCCUUAAUAAACAGAAGUAAGCCAAAGAGCUUCCAGCCUUGUGCUGUUUUAGCUGAGAAAAACCAGAAAGAGAAGGUCAGGAUGGAAUGCAACUCCCUUUCCUUUGUGACCUCCUCAAAGGAAGAUGAGAGAGCAGUGUGAGAUUUCUGAUUCCACCCAAAGAGGUGCGACUCGGCUUAGAGUUAAAACUCCCCAAACGCCUAUGAUGUGCGAGGGAAGUGAGUUAAAUGUUUGGCCUGGGAGCCAAUCCAGGGUUGAGUACCGGUUCUCCUGCUGACCAGCUUUAUGAAUGGAGCAGUUUAUUCUUAGGUCCUCUAGACUCCGGCUUCUUCCUGUUUAAGAUGGUGAUAACGAUAGCAUCUGUUUCAUUGGGAGAAUUACAUUUUUAAAAGUCUGCAAAGGGCUUACCUUCAUAUCUGGAGCAAGCACAAUUGUUGACUCUAACGAGCGCUCCUGGAACACCUACUGUGUGCCAAGAACCAUGCCACAGAACUAGGGCAUGCUCUGUAGUUUAAUCCCUAUGUCAGCCCGUUCUUCCCAAUAAGAACACCGAGGAUCAUAGAAGUUAAAGAGCAUGCUUCACGUUGCACAGUCAUCGGAGUGCUGGGAAUUUGGACCCGUAUCUCUCUCUCAGUAUUGUGGCCUCCUGAAAGCUUCAGUGCCCAAAUAACUGAAUCCAUCACACAGCCACGUCCCCGGUAGUAAACCCUUCCCCCUAGGUGAUUGGGGGGAUAAAAUGCAGGCGCAUUUAUCAAAGCAGAGAUGUGUUUAACCCCCUGGACACCUCACCUCCUCCAUGUUCUUUGGAGGACGUGCUCGGGCCGCCACCCCGGGGCUUGGCAGGGCUCAGGGGACUCAAUGCCUCCUGAGAGAUGCUUCCCCUGACCACACUCUCUGAGAUUGUUAUUCUUCCACACCACAGCUGCCUCCAAGGCAGUAUCAGAAUCAGGAAAUCACAGGUGUAUUUGUUUGAGUCCUUGCCGGCUACUCCCACUGCUGGAGAGGAGUCCAUGGCAGAGACUUUGGCUUUGUUCAAGCUGUAUCUGUAGCACACGGCCUAGCGCUCAGACGUGGGAGGGUCACAGUAGAUAUGCGACCCCUUUGCCAAUGAAGAGCCCUGACUCUUGAGAAAAGCCUGCAGUCCUGUCAGGCCAGCGUUGUGUUGGAGGAACCACACAGCCAGGCUUCCAGUAAUAGAGAAAGGGAGUGUGUGAGGAGUGAAAGUUGCCUGAAUUCUCUGCUUGCAUGUCCCCUUCAAGCCCUUUUGAUGUCAGGAGAGAGCUGUCCUCAAUUCUUUUGCAGGGAGGCAGGCCUCGGGGUGCAGCCCCUGGCUAAAUAUGUCCUAGCUCAGCGUCUGCUCCAUCCUCAUUAACUCCACUGCGUAGCUGGCCAUGGGGCAAGAUUCAUUUAGUGACUGAGCUUAAUAAAUAGAUGCUUCUGGUCUUGCAUUUCAGGCAUCACUCUCAGAGGCUAAGAGCUCAUUGAAGUGCUCCUUUCAAGAUGUCAAGGGCAAGCAGCUGGGCUUGGGGGAAGUGCAGAGAUAAUUCUGCUGAGCCUUUGUUUCCCAGCCCGUCUGGCAAUCACCAGCACUGCGGCAACGACAGGAAAAGCCUUCAACGCCCACUUCCUUGCCACACAAGAGCCGCAUUUCUGAACUGGGUCAGCCGGGUGAGGCGUGGCCACCUGUAUGGACCUCCAGGCACGUGAAGCCACUCUUGCCGAAGACGUUUGGUUGGAGAAUUUUGGUUUUGUGGCUGUGUACACGUUCUGUCAUUGCAUGGCCUGUGAUGCAGAGAGCAUAUCUCUUCCCCCUGAAAAGCCUUGGCAGAGAGCUUUCAUUUUGGAGGAAGCUUAUUUCCGGGCAACCAUCUCCAGGGAAAAUGAGUGUGAGGCAGUAGGCAGUAAACAACAUCGUAUCCCAUAGGGACGGAGGUGACCCGAAUGAGCUCCGGAGCGAGUCCGUGAUAGCGGCAGAAUCAUUACAGUGUGUGCGCCUGCCCAAGUCCAUGUGUAAUUGUAAUGUAUAAUUAAUACAGAGCUAAAAUUAAACUCCUGGGUGAAAGAGACGGGCAGGCUGAGGAGGCUGAGGAAUAUCAACCUCUAAGAUACAGCUUGUUUAUGACAAAUGUAGGAUUGGGUUGCUCUUCAUUUCAGUGGGCGUGUGCCUGUGUUUUGGGUUGCUCUUUGCUAAUAUUUCAGCCUUGAGGAAUAAGGAUUCCACAGUUAUCCUCUUCCCAUUCCUUCCAACCCCAGGAAGAAACUCUCUUUCAAGUAACCUUGUCCUCAGGCCACUGAAGUACUUUGGUUUUUCCAG
This is a long non-coding RNA of Bos taurus (domestic cattle), 2584 nucleotides long. The record is from Ensembl. NCBI's taxonomy places the organism in Eukaryota, Metazoa, Chordata, Mammalia, Artiodactyla, Bovidae.